Molecule: long non-coding RNA, 707 nt
Organism: Pongo pygmaeus (Bornean orangutan)
Lineage: Eukaryota; Metazoa; Chordata; Mammalia; Primates; Hominidae
Exons: 3
Source: RefSeq, a predicted model, not a curated record
UAGGAAAACACACACACACACACACACCGCACACCACACACUUCUCCUUUCCACUCUCUAUUAAAUCAGCUGAAUUAACACUACAGGCACUGGAAUGCCUCCACAAAGAUUCAAACUCUUAGCAUCAAAGGGCUCUUAGACUCAGAUCACUACGAAAGGCACCGACACAAGGAAGAUGGUAGCAAGGAAAAGGCAGUUUUCCAUUUCAAACUCCCGGAGCCCCGGCUGGGCAUCAGGCGGUUUUAAAGUAUUCAGACAGGUGCAGAAACAUCCCAGCGCGAGGUGCCCGGGCUCCACAGAGAGCAGGAGGCUUCCAUCCACCCUUUCCAUCGCAACGCGGGAGCCCCCUCCUCAGAACCUCCAUAAGGCACCGAAGCGCAGCCCAGUACGCACGGGGACCCAUCUGGCCGAGCCCCAGGAAAGCAGCCACCGAGGGCAGACGCGCGCCUUACCUGCUGUGCCAAGGCUGCUGAGAAACAGACUGCCAGGUUGGAAACCUGCAUAUGUUUCUGGAGAAGAUAAGGGAUGCAACUGAUUUGCAAACCCAGGCACAAUGAAGAGAAAGCUCAGGAGGUACAGACAGUGUCUUCUCCCUUCACCCUUGAGCCUUGUCUCUCCUCCUGUCGUUUCACUGGCUACUGACUAUGGCUCCCAUGGAGUGCAAGCUUGGAAAAUGGGAUCUUUCAACCCAGUUCUUCCCCCAACAU